Molecule: ribosomal RNA, 465 nt
Filed under: uncultured bacterium
Lineage: Bacteria
Description: partial 16S ribosomal RNA
Rfam family: Bacterial small subunit ribosomal RNA
Source: RNAcentral
GACGAACGCUGGCGGCGUGCUUAACACAUGCAAGUCGAACGGAAAGGCCCCUUUGGGGGUACUCGAGUGGCGAACGGGUGAGUAACACGUGAGUAACCUGCCCUUGACUUCGGGAUAACUUCAGGAAACUGGGGCUAAUACCGGAUAGGAAUCCUUGCUGCAUGGUGGGGGUUGGAAAGCUUCGGCGGUUUUGGAUCGAUUCGCGGGUUAUCAGCUUGCUGGUGGGGUAGUGGCUUACCAAGGCGUUGACGGGUAGCCGGCCUGAGCGGGCGACCGGCCACAUUGGGACUGAGAUACGGCCCAGACUCCUACGGGAGGCAGCAGUGGGGAAUAUUGCCCGAUGGGCGGAAGCCGGAUGCAGCAAGGCCGCGUGCGGGAUGACGGCCUUCGGGUUGUAAACCGCUUUCAGCAGGGGCGAAGCUUGUGGUGACGGUACCUGCAGAAGAAGCAACGGCUAACUACGUG